RNAcentral lists this ribosomal RNA (492 nucleotides) under uncultured bacterium. Its description in RNAcentral is "partial 16S ribosomal RNA". It matches the Rfam family "Bacterial small subunit ribosomal RNA", at positions 29 to 507 of the family's 1533-position model. The record is from RNAcentral.
AGUGAACGCUGGCGGUAGGCCUAACACAUGCAAGUCGAACGGCAGCACAGUAAGAGCUUGCUCUUACGGGUGGCGAGUGGCGGACGGGUGAGGAAUACAUCGGAAUCUACUUUUUCGUGGGGGAUAACGUAGGGAAACUUACGCUAAUACCGCAUACGACCUACGGGUGAAAGCAGGGGAUCUUCGGACCUUGCGCGAUUGAAUGAGCCGAUGUCGGAUUAGCUAGUUGGCGGGGUAAAGGCCCACCAAGGCGACGAUCCGUAGCUGGUCUGAGAGGAUGAUCGGCCACACUGGAACUGAGACAAGGUCCAGACUCCUACGGGAGGCAGCAGUGGGGAAUAUUGGACAAUGGGCGCAAGCCUGAUCCAGCCAUACCGCGUGGGUGAAGAAGGCCUUCGGGUUGUAAAGCCCUUUUGUUGGGAAAGAAAAGCAGCAGGUUAAUACCCCGCUGUUCUGACGGUACCCAAAGAAUAAGCACCGGCUAACUUCGUG